Molecule: ribosomal RNA, 290 nt
Filed under: uncultured bacterium
Lineage: Bacteria
Description: partial 16S ribosomal RNA
Rfam family: Bacterial small subunit ribosomal RNA
Source: RNAcentral
GGAUUAGAUACCCUGGUAGUCCACGCAGUAAACGAUGAGUGCUAGAUGUUGGAACUUUGUUUUAGCGUCGAAGCUAACGCGUUAAGCACUCCGCCUGGGAAGUACGACCGCAAGGUUAAAACUCAAAGGAAUUGACGGGGACCCGCACAAGCGGUGGAACAUGUGGUUUAAUUCGAUACUACGCGAAAAACCUUACCAAGUCUUGCAUGUUGGUUGUAUGGUUGGGAAACUAACCAGUCACUUCGGGUGGACCAUCACAGGUGUUGCAUGGCUGUCGUCAGCUCGUGCCG